GCCUGGAUGGCUCAGUCGGGUAAGCAUCUGACUUUGGCUCAGGUCAUGAUCUCAUGGUUCGUGAGUUCAAGCCCCACAUCAGGCU
Molecule: transfer RNA, 85 nt
Filed under: Felis catus (domestic cat)
Lineage: Eukaryota; Metazoa; Chordata; Mammalia; Carnivora; Felidae
Rfam family: tRNA
About the family: Transfer RNA (tRNA) molecules are approximately 80 nucleotides in length. Their secondary structure includes four short double-helical elements and three loops (D, anti-codon, and T loops).
Source: Rfam by way of RNAcentral